Molecule: ribosomal RNA, 372 nt
Filed under: uncultured eukaryote
Lineage: Eukaryota
Description: partial 18S ribosomal RNA
Rfam family: Eukaryotic small subunit ribosomal RNA
Source: RNAcentral
CAAUAGCGUAUAUUAAAGUUGUUGCAGUUAAAAAGCUCGUAGUUGGAUUUGUGGCGGUCCCUGUGGUCCAAUUUUGGUACUCUCGGGGACUGCCAUCCUUGGGUGGAUCCUGUGUGGCAUUAGGUUGUCGUGCAGGGGAUGCCCAUCGUUUACUGUGAAAAAAUUAGAGUGUUCAAAGCAGGCUUACGCCGUUGAAUAUAUUAGCAUGGAAUAAUGAGAUAGGACCUUGGUACUAUUUUGUUGGUUUGCGCACCGAGGUAAUGAUUAAUAGGGACAGUUGUGGGUAUUCGUAUUCCAUUGUCAGAGGUGGAAUUCUUGGAUUUCUGGAAGACGAACUAAUGCGAAAGCAUUUAUCAAGGAUGUUUUCAUUAA